This 270-nucleotide ribosomal RNA is filed under the name uncultured archaeon. RNAcentral describes it as "partial 16S ribosomal RNA". It matches the Rfam family "Archaeal small subunit ribosomal RNA", at positions 477 to 747 of the family's 1478-position model. The record is from RNAcentral.
CUGCACCUCAAGUGGUCAGGAUGAUUAUUGGGCCUAAAGCAUCCGUAGCCGGCGCUGUAAGUUUUCGGUUAAAUCUGUACGCUCAACGUACAGGCUGCCGGGAAUACUGCAGCGCUAGGGAGUGGGAGAGGUAGACGGUACUCGGUAGGAAGGGGUAAAAUCCUUUGAUCUAUUGAUGACCACCUGUGGCGAAGGCGGUCUACCAGAACACGUCCGACGGUGAGGGAUGAAAGCUGGGGGAGCAAACCGGAUUAGAGACCCCCGUAGUCC